AGGAGUUUUGCAUUCUCUGCUCAUCCUUACUUUUCUGAAUGCUUUGGGUGAGUUUUAAGGAACCAUAGAAUUGCAGACCGAUGCACUUUGCCUUAAAGUACAUACUGCUGGAGCAAGAGAGACCAAUUAUCCUACUGGGUGCUGGCUGCUGAGACUGGCUGACCAGAUCGAGUGGGAAUCAUCCAUGAAAGGUCCUCCCACCUCCCUACUCAGUCCACUUCACGAGCCCUUGGAUGCAUCUGCCUUUGGCUUUCCAUGGCAGUGCUGCUGCUGCUGC
This 277-nucleotide long non-coding RNA is filed under the name Rattus norvegicus (Norway rat). Its description in RNAcentral is "long non-coding RNA NONRATT031439". Lineage: Eukaryota; Metazoa; Chordata; Mammalia; Rodentia; Muridae. The record is from RNAcentral.